UUUACAUUGCAUAGCUUUGUAUUGAAACAAAUUCAUUGAGGCAUCUGUUGGGAGAAUUAAGUAAAUAAUUAAGUUAAAUAUUGAUUACUCCAGUUUUGAUCCAGACUCAGAUUUAAAGUAACAUUUAGAUGAACACUGACGCUCUCAAAGAGGUGCACAUUAUUGUAUCUGAUAACCAAAUGUUCAUUGCUUCUAUGAUCAAUUUUGUAAUCUGUUGUCUUGUUGAUCACAUGAUAUGAUGCAUAAAAAACUGUUGACUUUGGCCCCUUUAGCCUUUGUUCCUAUUUUGCAGCUGGUAAGGUGGAAAGUCUUAUACCUGUCCAACAGCAUAUUCUCUGGAAAAACAAGGCUAAGAUGCUCCAGUCUCGGGUGGAUGAGCUAGAGGAGGAAAAUGGCUUACUCAAACAAUAACUUGAGGAGAAGAAUUCUAUACAAGAGCAAGAUGGGAACUUGGAGAUAAUGGACACUGGAGAUGAGGAGCCUCAGGCCAUGAGGUUGAACUCCAGCACCCUUUCCAGCACUGACUCCAGCACUGAGUCAAGCUCUGACUCCAGCUCAAGCUCUACCUCUGACUCUUCUGAUGAAGGAAAGAAGAACAAGAAGCAGAAAAAGAAGAAUGGUAAGAAGAGAAGCAAAAAAAGGAAAGGAAGGAAGGAAAACAAAAAGGUGAAGAGGUCAAAAAGGAAAAGGAGAGCGAGUUGCUUCCAUCAGGGGAUGUGGUGAGAAGAUACCGGCAUGUCCUCAAACUUGUGCAGAGAGGAUUCAAGAUGAGCAAAGCUUUCCAGAAAGUUCGGGUUUCCAGAAAUGCUGUGAAAGACACUGCAGCAAUUGCAGAAGAAUACCUAGUGGACAAAAGAGUCCUAGACCAGUUCAAGGGUAAAUACACACGUUUGAAAUUAGCCCAAGUUUGUCAGAAAACAAUUGUUGGUGAACUGGCAGAAAAGACAAUUGAAAUGAAAAGCAACAAACAGCUCAUCCCCUCAAGGAAUCCUGAAUGUGGG
This is a long non-coding RNA of Eleginops maclovinus (Patagonian blennie), 1001 nucleotides long. RefSeq lists it as uncharacterized. NCBI's taxonomy places the organism in Eukaryota, Metazoa, Chordata, Actinopteri, Perciformes, Eleginopidae. The transcript is spliced from 3 exons. The record is from RefSeq and is a predicted model, not a curated record.